GUUCAUGUGAUCUGUGCAGUGUUUUUUUAUAUACAGUCUAUGGUGACUUGAGUUCAUUAAACCUGUCAUCUAACCAAGAAAACAAAGCAACCACAUUUAUUUAUUAUGUAUUUAUUCGAGGCUUAAACUGUGUCAGUGUGGUAAAUCCUCAACAUUGUAGAAGAUCACGGAUGGGGCAGGUCGCGGUGAUGAAGAUCACUUUUCUCAUUUAAAAAAAAAUGUCCAAAACACAGCUUAAACUCCAGUGAUAAAUUAAUGCGCAACUCGAAUUAACCACGCCAGUAACAGUGUUACCCUUUUCACUUUUUCAACGUAUGCGCCAGGUGAACAACUCUAGUAGGACAGAAUAGGCGCCAUUUUCGAUCCGGUAUCCAGCUUUAAUAAUGCAUCUAUACGUCUGGCGCAUUUACGGUGGAUGUAUUUUAAGACCAAUCAGAAACGGUUGCUAGGCGGACCAGAAUUGGCCGGCCAAUCAGCGUUUUUCUCCCAAUGUCAGCUGGCGUAUGUCGUCAUUGGUCACGACAUGCUCGUGAUUGGCUACAAUCUUCUGGGUGGAGCGCAGAGAGGCGGAGAAACGGAAGUCGGAAAACAGAUUUAAACUAACGUUGAACCGUUUCCUCUGUUUGCCAGUACUGAGAGAAAACGUCGUUACUGACGAGAUCUGGAUGCUAAAACAAACUCUGGGACUGCUUUUUUCACGUUAAUGAAGAGGGUCGAGUGCUAAAAAAAAACUCAGGGGCUGCUUUUUAUACGUUAAUGAAGAGGUCCGGGUGCUAAAAAAACUCGGGGGCUGCUUUUUUUUGUCGAACACGAGUGAGACUGGACGCUGAACAAGCCUGCGGCGCGGAGGUUGACUGGUUCAGCUGCUGCAGCCUGGACAGAAACACCAGCUCUCACCUUACAAACCAAACAGGUGUCGCCGCUUUGUCCACAAUCGCAGAGUCUUCGUACAAUGAGGAAGUUCUUUGAGACCAGGACAGAGGCCUCCAGGAUUGAACCAUUAAAUCACAGAGAGAAGAGACCGACGUGAAGACAUUUCCAGAAGGUCUUCAGCUGCUGUCAUCUUCUCCUCCUGCAGAGACAAGAACACAUGUUAAUCAUUUUUUAUGCCUUAUUGUACUAUGACAUGUUGCUUAUGACAAAGGAACUAUCUUAAAGCGGUGAUCUUACAGUUGCACACGCACCUCUACAUGGUGUUUGUGGGUUAGGUUAGAUUUUAAAACUUUAUAACUACUCCCCUUUCUGCAGGAAGGACAUCUCAUAUCAACACUACCAUUAUUGUGUGCAAUAUUACAACUAAUUUUUACUGACAAUGUUUUGUAUGUUAAAUCUGUCGUUUAUACAUUGUAUAAAUAUUUCUACAUAUA
This is a long non-coding RNA of Lates calcarifer (barramundi perch), 1367 nucleotides long. RefSeq lists it as uncharacterized. Lineage: Eukaryota; Metazoa; Chordata; Actinopteri; Centropomidae. The transcript is spliced from 5 exons. The record is from RefSeq and is a predicted model, not a curated record.